AUUCAUAUAUAUGAUAUAUUUAUACAUAUAAUACGGUAUAUGAAAUGUUCUAUACUAUAUUUUAUAGCAAAAGGUCAAUAAAAAAACUAAUAAUAUAUAUUUAUGUCUGCUUCUAUUCUAUGUGACUUAGGUUUAAUGCAUUCGAGAAAGUUUAACUGCAAAACUUACAUUUUCUUCACUUGUGGGUAAAAAUAAGUUUUUCUUGUGUUCUUAUUUAUUUAAAAUGUCAAACAAGAAUAUAAAAAAACUUAUUUUUGUCCAAAAGUGAAAAAAAUGUUAGUUUUGCAGUAGAACUUUUCAUUUAUUCCUGUUCUCGGUAUGUAUCUCUUGAUAGUCAUUUUUAUGUCAAACAGGCGUCAAAAAGCUACAAUCAUUUUGACGUCUGUUUGACAUCAAAAUGACAUCAAGAUUAGCAUCAUGGCAUGGGACGUUUUGCAGUCAAAUAGCCGUCAUUUUGCCAUGAUUUUGAUUACUCAUUUUGGCAUCAUACUCAUUGUCAAUUUGAUAGCAUUUUGACGUCAUUUUGACUAGAUUGUUUUCACUGGGCACCAUUCACUUCCCCAGGCCACCUCACUCGCUCUUGGCAGGGGACGUUUUCGAACGCAACCUUUCCUGUUGUGAUGAUAGGUGAUAAUACCAACACGCGAUUUUAAUCUAAGCGUCUCAUGAAUUUGCACCUUCACUCUUCUAAAAUCGUCCUUUCACCAUCGAAGAUCGCGCGGGACUCCAAAU
Long non-coding RNA from Vollenhovia emeryi, 732 nucleotides. RefSeq lists it as uncharacterized. The record is from RefSeq and is a predicted model, not a curated record. The transcript has 2 exons. Lineage: Eukaryota; Metazoa; Arthropoda; Insecta; Hymenoptera; Formicidae.